RNAcentral lists this ribosomal RNA (305 nucleotides) under uncultured bacterium. RNAcentral describes it as "bacterial SSU rRNA". It matches the Rfam family "Bacterial small subunit ribosomal RNA", at positions 337 to 635 of the family's 1533-position model. The record is from RNAcentral.
GCCUACGGGGGGCAGCAGUAGGGAAUUUUCGUCAAUGGGCGCAAGCCUGAACGAGCAAUGCCGCGUGAACGAGGAAGGUCUUCGGAUCGUAAAGUUCUGUUGAAGGGGAAAAAGAGCGGAGAGAGGAAAUGGUCUCCGAUUGAUAUUACCCUUCGAGGAAGUCACGGCUAACUACGUGCCAGCAGCCGCGGUAAUACGUAGGUGGCGAGCGUUAUCCGGAAUGAUUGGGCGUAAAGGGUGCGUAGGCGGCCUGCUAAGUCUGGAGUGAAAGGUACCGGCUCAACCGGUACAGGCUAUGUAAACUG